This 400-nucleotide ribosomal RNA is filed under the name phytoplankton environmental sample. RNAcentral describes it as "partial small subunit ribosomal RNA". It matches the Rfam family "Eukaryotic small subunit ribosomal RNA", at positions 587 to 989 of the family's 1831-position model. The record is from RNAcentral.
AGCUCCAAUAGCGUAUAUUAAAGUUGUUGCAGUUAAAAAGCUCGUAGUUGGAUUUCUGGUAGGAGCGACCGACCCGACCGAAUGGUCGCGUGUUUGUGUUGUCUCCGGCCAUCCUUGCAGAGAGUGCGUUGGUGCUUGAUUGCAUUGGCGUAGGACCUGCAUCCUUCACUGUGAAAAAAUUAGAGUGUUUAAAGCAAGCAAUCGCGUUGAAUACAUUAGCAUGGAAUGAUAAGAUAGGACUUUGGUGCUAUUUUGUUGGUUUACACACCAAGGUAAUGAUUAACAGGGACAGUUGGGGGUAUUCGUAUUUAAUUGUCAGAGGUGAAAUUCUUGGAUUUAUGAAAGACGAACUACUGCGAAAGCAUUUACCAAGGAUGUUUUCAUUAAUCAAGAACGAAAG